CGGCAGCGCGGACUUCGGUCUGGCGGCGAGUGGCGAACGGGUGAGUAAUAUAUCGGAACGUGCCCAGUAGCGGGGGAUAACUACUCGAAAGAGUAGCUAAUACCGCAUACGCCCUACGGGGGAAAGGGGGGGAUCGCAAGACCUCUCACUAUUGGAGCGGCCGAUAUCGGAUUAGCUAGUUGGUGGAGUAAAGGCCCACCAAGGCGACGAUCCGUAGCUGGUUUGAGAGGACGACCAGCCACACUGGGACUGAGACACGGCCCAGACUCCUACGGGAGGCAGCAGUGGGGAAUUUUGGACAAUGGGGGAAACCCUGAUCCAGCCAUUCCGCGUGUGCGAUGAAGGCCUUCGGGUUGUAAAGCACUUUUGGCAGGAAAGAAAUCGCGCAAAUUAAUACUUUGCGUGGAUGACGGUACCUGCAGAAUAAGCACCGGCUAACUACGUGCCAGCAGCCGCGGUAAUACGUAGGGUGCAAGCGUUAAUCGGAAUUACUGGGCGUAAAGCGUGCGC
Molecule: ribosomal RNA, 510 nt
Filed under: uncultured beta proteobacterium
Lineage: Bacteria; Pseudomonadati; Pseudomonadota; Betaproteobacteria
Description: bacterial SSU rRNA
Rfam family: Bacterial small subunit ribosomal RNA
Source: RNAcentral